GUCGAACGAAACUUCUUUAUCACCGAGUGCUUGCACUCACCGAUAAAGAGUUGAGUGGCGAACGGGUGAGUAACACGUGGGCAACCUGCCCAAAAGAGGGGGAUAACACUUGGAAACAGGUGCUAAUACCGCAUAACCAUAGUUACCGCAUGGUAACUAUGUAAAAGGUGGCUAUGCUACCGCUUUUGGAUGGGCCCGCGGCGCAUUAGCUAGUUGGUGGGGUAAAGGCUUACCAAGGCAAUGAUGCGUAGCCGAACUGAGAGGUUGAUCGGCCACAUUGGGACUGAGACACGGCCCAAACUCCUACGGGAGGCAGCAGUAGGGAAUCUUCCACAAUGGGCGAAAGCCUGAUGGAGCAACGCCGCGUGGGUGAAGAAGGUCUUCGGAUCGUAAAACCCUGUUGUUAGAGAAGAAAGUGCGUGAGAGUAACUGUUCACGUUUCGACGGUAUCUAACCAGAAAGCCACGGCUAACUACGUGCCAGCAGCCGCGGUAAUACGUAGGUGGCAAGCGUUAUCCGGAUUUAUUGGGCGUAAAGGGAACGCAGGCGGUCUUUUAAGUCUGAUGUGAAAGCCUUCGGCUUAACCGGAGUAGUGCAUUGGAAACUGGGAGACUUGAGUGCAGAAGAGGAGAGUGGAACUCCAUGUGUAGCGGUGAAAUGCGUAGAUAUAUGGAAGAACACCAGUGGCGAAAGCGGCUCUCUGGUCUGUAACUGACGCUGAGGUUCGAAAGCGUGUGUAGCAAACAGGAUU
RNAcentral lists this ribosomal RNA (751 nucleotides) under uncultured bacterium. RNAcentral's name for it is "bacterial SSU rRNA". It matches the Rfam family "Bacterial small subunit ribosomal RNA", at positions 61 to 779 of the family's 1533-position model. The record is from RNAcentral.